AAUGUUUAAAGACGCUCAUGAGUUUGUUUCAAAGUGUGAUUCAUGCCAGAGAAAAGACAACAUCAGCAGAAGAAAUGAGAUGCCUCAGAAUCCAAUCUUGGAAGUUGAGAUCUUUGAUGUAUGGGGGAUUGAUUUUAUGGGUCCAUUCCCAUCUUCAUACGGUAACAAAUAUAUAUUGGUCGCCGUAGAUUACGUAUCAAAGUGCGUCGAAGCUAUUGCUAGUCCUACCAACGAUGCAAAAGUUGUGCUGAAGCUGUUCAAGACCAUAAUCUUCCCGAGAUUCGGAGUGCCCAGGGUAGUAAUCAGUGAUGGUGGGAAGCAUUUCAUCAACAAGGUUUUUGAGACCCUCCUGAAGAAGCAUGGAGUAAAGCACAAGGUCGCUAGUCCCUAUCAUCCACAGACGAGCGAGCAGGUUGAGAUCUCCAAUAGGGAGAUAAAAACAAUUCUAGAAAAGACUGUUGGGAUUACAAGAAAAGACUGGUCUGCAAAGCUCGAUGACACAUUAUGGGCUUAUAGGACAGCCUUUAAGACCCCAAUUGGUACAACACCUUUCAAUCUUCUCUAUGGAAAAUCAUGUCACCUACCUGUUGAGCUCGAGUACAAAGCAAUGUGGGCUGUAAAACUUCUGAACUUUGACAUAAAAACUGUUAAGGAGAAGCUAUUUAUCCAACUCAGUGACCUCGAUGAGAUCCGUUUAGAAGCUUAUGAGAGCUCUAAAAUCUAGAAGGAGAGAACUAAGCUUUUCCAUGACAAAAGAUCAUCACCAAGGAUUUCCAAGUUGGUGAUCAGGUGCUGCUAUUCAACUCUCGCUUGAAACUCUUUCCAAGAAAGCUUAAAUCCAGAUGGUCUGGCCCCUUCUGUAUCACUGAGGUCCGUCCUUAUGGAGCAGUUACUCUAGCUGGUAAGAGUGGAGAUUUCACAGUAAAUGGUCAAAGGCUCAAGAAAUACUUAGCGGAUCAAAUCCUUCCAGAGGUGACAUUGGUUCAUCUCCAAGAACUUCUUGAUGAUUAAAAGAGUAAAGGAGUCAAGCAAAUGACUUUAAACAAGCUCACUUGGGAGGAAGUCCCAUGACUAUCUCUGUAAAUAAAUUUUUCUUUUCUUGUUAUUUUUAAUUUGUCUUAGUUGUGUUUGUGGUUCUCAGGGACAAAGGAACAACGUGGAGAUAGAGUAAAAAUCCAAAACUUUUACUCUACAGAAGGCCAUGUAUCGCUAUCUCUCACCAAGAUUCACUCGACCCAUCUGUUUACUCGACCUCCAAAAAGCACUCGACCUCCGCACCGCCGACACCGAGUUCAUUUCCUCCGUCACUCGACCUUUUCACUUCGCCGUUCGCCAUCACUUUGUUCUCGCAACACUCGACCAUCUCUGCGCCGCCGCAAUCGAGUACUCUGCCUCGUUCACCGUCGAAGUCUCAUGGACAACUCGAUUACAACCACAGAACUCGACCACAAGCUUUCACUCGACCUCUACAACAAACCAUUCGACCUCUUGUUCUUGCAACCAACAGAGCCAUCCAACUUCAGAGAGUUUACUCGACCAACGGUUCUACUCUAAUAGAUCCAAUUCGAGUUAGUGUAACUCGAGAACAGCUUAGGUUACUCGAGUAUCAGAUUGUACUCGACCAAUUGGGUCUAUUUCAUUGCUUGUUGAUAACAAUUUUGGUUUCAUUGUUAUCUUUGAGACUAACCUAUUGACAUUUGAGCUUUGAGAUCUAGAUUUCUGGAGGAGAAUCAUGAGUAAUUACAGUGGCAGUUCUUCUGUUGAUCCUGACUACAACAUGGAUGAGACAGAGUCGUCGUCUUCAAGGCCAGAAAGAGAACAGAGAGAAUAUUCAGAAGAAAAGCUGAGAUAGCCCGUGGGAAGAGAGCAAUGACAGAGAGGUAUGAGCUUAUAGAUGAGGAUCAGGAAGACGAGUACAUGCCUGAGCAUACUCGUAGAGCUACCAAACUUCUGCACAAACCUGAUGUAUUGCCUGCUGAGGAAUAUAUUAGGCUCUUCAAAUUGAAUGAGUUUUGUAGCACAAGGUAUCCAUGCUCGACCACGCUUGCACAAUUUGGAUUGUUGGAGGAUGUUCAGCACCUGUACCAGAGUUGUCAUCUGGACACUCUGAUGGCUUAUUCGUAUGUAGCAUAUGAAGAAUAGACAAUUCAAUUCCUCUCCACGCUGCAAGUGGAGCUCUACCAAGGUAUGACCUCUGAUGAAUUGGAUUGUGAAGGAUUGGGAUUCUUGAGAUUCUCUGUGUAUGGUCAUGAGUAUAGGUUAUCAAUCAAGCGCUUGGAAGGAUUGUUUGGUUUCCCCAGUGGGACGGGAACUAAGCCCAAGUAUGACAGAGAAGAGUUGAAAGACUUGUGGAUCACCAUUGGCACCUCUGUACCGCUGAAUUCUUCCAGGUCAAAGAGCAAUCAGAUACGUAGCCCUGUCAUCAGGUAUUUCCAGCGUUCUAUAACCAAUGUACUCUACUCCCGAGAGAUCAUAGGGACUGUUACUAAUUCUGAUAUGGAGAUGAUCGCUAUGGCUCUCAAGGGCACUCUCCGCCAAACUAAGAACAACAUGUCUGUCCAAGGUUAAAUCAAUGACACACCUCUCUCUGUACUUCUUUUGAUCCAUCUGAGUGGAUACAAGAGCUGGGCUGUCAGCAAUAACCACAAGAGAGCUGUUCCUCCUCCACUACAACUAUUCCACAGGGACAACCUCCUCUAGAGAUGCCAUCGAGGAGAUUUGAUGAGCCUGAGCACAUGCCUGAGCUUAGUGAGCAGAGAGUCUCACAUGUCCCGGCUAGGCAUUCGUCAUUCGAGUCCCAGGAGCACAAGAGAAGGAGGAAGGCUACACUCACUCGAUCUAGCAGCAGAUCACGCAUAAUUCACUCGAGGAGAUCACUCGACCGCGGUGCUGGCCGCAGUAGAAGAAGAGAGGUCGAGUAUCCUCAGAGCGGUGUUGGCCGCCACAGAGCUGAUGAGGUCGAGUACCCACCUGCUGGAGCUGAUACGGAACAGGGCGGUUCGUCUAUGGCCUGGGAGCAAUCACAGGCAGCCAUUGACGACCAACUUCAUUCAUUCUUCGACUGAGGUAAGCGCCUCACUUCACCAUUGUAUUAUAUCAUCUGUUGUGAUUUGUUCUUUCUUUUGUUUCUGUGAAUGGAUUUGUCCUGAGUACUCUCUUCCAAGUUUAUCACACAAUGUACUGUGUGAUUUAAGUUUGGGGGAGGGCUCAGGAAGUGUGUGUUGCAUUGUGUAUAUUUUUGAGUCUGCAUUCAUCUAAGGCAUAGAAAAACCAAAACAAUUGGAAAAUUUUCAUAAAAUGAUU
This 3303-nucleotide small RNA is filed under the name Arabidopsis thaliana (thale cress). RNAcentral describes it as "ATSL095900". The record is from RNAcentral. Lineage: Eukaryota; Viridiplantae; Streptophyta; Magnoliopsida; Brassicales; Brassicaceae.